RNAcentral lists this ribosomal RNA (355 nucleotides) under uncultured bacterium. Its description in RNAcentral is "bacterial SSU rRNA". It matches the Rfam family "Bacterial small subunit ribosomal RNA", at positions 29 to 409 of the family's 1533-position model. The record is from RNAcentral.
AGCGAACGCUGGCGGCAGGCUUAACACAUGCAAGUCGAGCGGGCCCUUCGGGGUCAGCGGCAGACGGGUGAGUAACACGUGGGAACGUACCCUUCGGUUCGGAAUAACUCAGGGAAACUUGAGCUAAAUACCGGAUACGCCCUUUGGGGGAAAGGUUUACUGCCGAAGGAUCGGCCCGCGUCUGAUUAGCUAGUUGGUGGGGUAAUGGCCCACCAAGGCGACGAUCAGUAGCUGGUCUGAGAGGAUGANCAGCCACACUGGGACUGAGACACGGCCCAGACCUCCUACGGGAGCAGCAGGUGGGGAAUAUUGGACAAUGGGCGCAAGCCUGAUCCAGCCAUGCCGCGUGAGUGAU